This 958-nucleotide ribosomal RNA is filed under the name uncultured Bacillota bacterium. RNAcentral's name for it is "bacterial SSU rRNA". It matches the Rfam family "Bacterial small subunit ribosomal RNA", at positions 1 to 918 of the family's 1533-position model. The record is from RNAcentral. Lineage: Bacteria; Bacillati; Bacillota.
UGGAUCCAGACUUUGAUCCUGGCUCAGGACGAACGCUGGCGGCGUGCCUAAUACAUGCAAGUCGAGCGAGCUUGCCUAGAUGAUUUUAGUGCUUGCACUAAAUGAAACUAGAUACAAGCGAGCGGCGGACGGGUGAGUAACACGUGGGUAACCUGCCCAAGAGACUGGGAUAACACCUGGAAACAGAUGCUAAUACCGGAUAACAACACUAGACGCAUGUCUAGAGUUUGAAAGAUGGUUCUGCUAUCACUCUUGGAUGGACCUGCGGUGCAUUAGCUAGUUGGUAAGGUAACGGCUUACCAAGGCAAUGAUGCAUAGCCGAGUUGAGAGACUGAUCGGCCACAUUGGGACUGAGACACGGCCCAAACUCCUACGGGAGGCAGCAGUAGGGAAUCUUCCACAAUGGACGAAAGUCUGAUGGAGCAACGCCGCGUGAGUGAAGAAGGGUUUCGGCUCGUAAAGCUCUGUUGGUAGUGAAGAAAGAUAGAGGUAGUAACUGGCCUUUAUUUGACGGUAAUUACUUAGAAAGUCACGGCUAACUACGCGCCAGCAGCCGCGGUAAUACGUAGGUGGCAAGCGUUGUCCGGAUUUAUUGGGCGUAAAGCGAGUGCAGGCGGUUCAAUAAGUCUGAUGUGAAAGCCUUCGGCUCAACCGGAGAAUUGCAUCAGAAACUGUUGAACUUGAGUGCAGAAGAGGAGAGUGGAACUCCAUGUGUAGCGGUGGAAUGCGUAGGUAUAUGGAAGAACACCAGUGGCGAAGGCGGCUCUCUGGUCUGCAACUGACGCUGAGGCUCGAAAGCAUGGGUAGCGAACAGGAUUAGAUACCCUGGUAGUCCAUGCCGUAAACGAUGAGUGCUAAGUGUUGGGAGGUUUCCGCCUCUCAGUGCUGCAGCUAACGCAUUAAGCACUCCGCCUGGGGAGUACGACCGCAAGGUUGCAACUCAAGGGAAUUGACGGAA